GGAGGCUCCUGGUGUCCAAGGUUCAGUCCCUGGUGGCCGACUCCAUGGCUCUGGCCCAAGGGGAGCAGAACAAGAUGGCGGCAGGGCCUGGAGGAGGAGAGCAGCUCAGGACAGGGCACCAGGGAGCAGAGAGAGCUCUGCCCACCAGGGACAGGACAGAGACCCCAAAGGCACAGCCCAGGGACCCCCUCCUCCAGCCACACCCCACCUGCUGCAGUCACCACCCAGUGAGUCCAUCCAAGUGGAUUAAUCCACUUUCAGUCUACACCUCUUCCUAACCCAAUC
This 285-nucleotide long non-coding RNA is filed under the name Marmota monax (woodchuck). Lineage: Eukaryota; Metazoa; Chordata; Mammalia; Rodentia; Sciuridae. The record is from RNAcentral.